RNAcentral lists this ribosomal RNA (462 nucleotides) under uncultured bacterium. RNAcentral describes it as "partial 16S ribosomal RNA". It matches the Rfam family "Bacterial small subunit ribosomal RNA", at positions 338 to 795 of the family's 1533-position model. The record is from RNAcentral.
CCUACGGGUGGCAGCAGUGAGGAAUAUUGGUCAAUGGACGCAAGUCUGAACCAGCCAUGCCGCGUGCAGGAUGACGGCUCUAUGAGUUGUAAACUGCUUUUGUACGAGGGUAAACCCCGAUACGUGUAUCGGGUUGAAAGUAUCGUACGAAUAAGGAUCGGCUAACUCCGUGCCAGCAGCCGCGGUAAUACGGAGGAUCCGAGCAUUAUCCGGAGUGACUGGGUGUAAAGAGUUGCGUAGGUGGCAUAAUAAGUAGCUAGUGAAAUCUGGUGGCUCAACCAUUCAGACUAUUAGCUAAACUGUUAAGCUCGAGACCGUUAGGGGUAACUGGAAUUUCUAGUGUAGGAGUGAAAUCCGUAGAUAUUAGAAGGAACACCAAUAGCGUAGGCAGGUUACUGGGACGGUUCUGACACUAAGGCACGAAAGCGUAGGGAGCAAACGGGAUUAGAUACCCCUGUAGUC